This 459-nucleotide ribosomal RNA is filed under the name uncultured bacterium. RNAcentral describes it as "partial 16S ribosomal RNA". It matches the Rfam family "Bacterial small subunit ribosomal RNA", at positions 338 to 795 of the family's 1533-position model. The record is from RNAcentral.
CCUACGGGAUGCAGCAGUGAGGAAUAUUGGUCAAUGGUCGGGAGACUGAACCAGCCAAGCCGCGUGAGGGAUGAAGGUACAGAGUAUCGUAAACCUCUUUUGUCAGGGAACAAAGGCGGGGACGCGUCCCCGGAUGAGUGUACCUGAAGAAAAAGCAUCGGCUAACUCCGUGCCAGCAGCCGCGGUAAUACGGAGGAUGCGAGCGUUAUCCGGUUUUAUUGGGUUAAAAGGGUGCGCAGGCGGUCUGUUAAGUCAGCGGUCAAACCCCGGGGCUCAACCCCGGCCCGCCGUUGAAACUGGCAGUCUCGAGUUGGAGAGAAGUAUGCGGAAUGCGCGGUGUAGCGGUGAAAUGCAUAGAUAUCGCGCAGAACUCCGAUGGCGAAGGCAGCAUGCCGGCUCCACACUGACGCUGAGGCACGAAAGCGUGGGUAUCGAACAGGAUUAGAUACCCGGGUAGUC